Molecule: ribosomal RNA, 225 nt
Filed under: Triticum aestivum (bread wheat)
Lineage: Eukaryota; Viridiplantae; Streptophyta; Magnoliopsida; Poales; Poaceae
Description: partial small subunit ribosomal RNA
Source: RNAcentral
AUGUUGGCCUUGAAAGAGAUUCUAAGGAAAUAUCAGGAAGCGUCUGGCCAACGCAUUAAUUUGCAGAAAUCAGCAAUUUUCUUCGGCAAAGGGAGUCAAGAGGAUGCAAAGGUACAACUAAAAAAUGCUCUGGGCGUGCAUAAUGAAGCGCUCAGUGAGAGAUAUUUGGGCCUCCCAACACUGGUUGGUAGGUCCAAAGAAGGGACUUUCAAGUACGUUACUGAG